Molecule: ribosomal RNA, 564 nt
Filed under: Colletotrichum gloeosporioides
Lineage: Eukaryota; Fungi; Ascomycota; Sordariomycetes; Glomerellales; Glomerellaceae
Description: eukaryotic LSU rRNA
Rfam family: 5.8S ribosomal RNA (bases 200-353)
Source: RNAcentral
GUAGGUGAACCUGCGGAGGGAUCAUUACUGAGUUUACGCUCUAUAACCCUUUGUGAACAUACCUAUAACUGUUGCUUCGGCGGGUAGGGUCUCCGUGACCCUCCCGGCCUCCCGCCCCCGGGCGGGUCGGCGCCCGCCGGAGGAUAACCAAACUCUGAUUUAACGACGUUUCUUCUGAGUGGUACAAGCAAAUAAUCAAAACUUUUAACAACGGAUCUCUUGGUUCUGGCAUCGAUGAAGAACGCAGCGAAAUGCGAUAAGUAAUGUGAAUUGCAGAAUUCAGUGAAUCAUCGAAUCUUUGAACGCACAUUGCGCCCGCCAGCAUUCUGGCGGGCAUGCCUGUUCGAGCGUCAUUUCAACCCUCAAGCUCUGCUUGGUGUUGGGGCCCUACAGCUGAUGUAGGCCCUCAAAGGUAGUGGCGGACCCUCCCGGAGCCUCCUUUGCGUAGUAACUUUACGUCUCGCACUGGGAUCCGGAGGGACUCUUGCCGUAAAACCCCCCAAUUUUCCAAAGGUUGACCUCGGAUCAGGUAGGAAUACCCGCUGAACUUAAGCAUAUCAAUAA